Molecule: microRNA precursor, 82 nt
Filed under: Chlorocebus sabaeus (green monkey)
Lineage: Eukaryota; Metazoa; Chordata; Mammalia; Primates; Cercopithecidae
Also listed under: 4 other names
Description: mir-548 microRNA precursor family
Rfam family: mir-548 microRNA precursor family
Source: Rfam by way of RNAcentral
UAUUAGGUUGGUGCGAAAGUAAUUGCCGUUUUGCCAUUGAACGUAAUGGCAAAACGGCAAUUACUUUUGCACCAACCUAAUA